Molecule: ribosomal RNA, 301 nt
Filed under: uncultured bacterium
Lineage: Bacteria
Description: partial 16S ribosomal RNA
Rfam family: Bacterial small subunit ribosomal RNA
Source: RNAcentral
CAGUAGCCGCGGUAAUACGUAGGGUGCAAGCGUUGCUCGGAAUUACUGGGCGUAAAGGGCGCGUAGGCGGACAGUUCAGUCAGGGGUGAAAGCCCGGGGCUCAACCUCGGAAUUGCCUCUGAUACUGGCUGUCUUGAGUACGGGAGAGGUGUGUGGAACUCCGAGUGUAGAGGUGAAAUUCGUAGAUAUUCGGAAGAACACCAGUGGCGAAGGCGACACACUGGCCCGUUACUGACGCUGAUGCGCGAAAGCGUGGGGAGCAAACAGGAUUAGAUACCCCUGUAGUCCCUGUCUCUUAUAC